Molecule: ribosomal RNA, 498 nt
Filed under: uncultured bacterium
Lineage: Bacteria
Description: partial 16S ribosomal RNA
Rfam family: Bacterial small subunit ribosomal RNA
Source: RNAcentral
GAUGAACGCUAGCGGCAGGCCUAAUACAUGCAAGUCGAGGGAGAAUGUUGGAUUCGUCUGACAUGAAACCGGCGCACGGGUGCGUAACACGUAUGCAACCUACCUUUAACUGGGGUAUAGCUCAGAGAAAUCUGAAUUAAUCCCCCAUAAGACUACGACAUGGCAUCAUGAUGUAGUUAAAGCUCCGGCGGUUAAGGAUGGGCAUGCGGUACAUUAGCUAGUUGGUGAGGUAAUGGCUCACCAAGGCUACGAUGUAUCGGGUGUCUGAGAGGAUGAUCCCCCACACAGGAACUGAGACACGGACCAGAGUCCUACUGGAGGCAGCAGUAGGGAAUAUUGAUCAAUGUACGCAAGGUUGACCCAGCCAUGCCGCGUGAAGGAUGAAGGCCCUAUGAGUCGUAAACUUCUUUUAUUCGGAAAGAAAAAACGGGAUGCGUCCUGUACUGACGGUACUUAAUGAAUAAGGAUCGGCUAACUUCGUGCCAGCAGCCGCCGUAA